UGGGGAAUAUUGCGCAAUGGGGGAAACCCUGACGCAGCAACGCCGCGUGCGGGAUGAAGGCCUUCGGGUUGUAAACCGCUUUCAGCAGGGAAGACAUCGACGGUACCUGCAGAAGAAGCCCCGGCUAACUACGUGCCAGCAGCCGCGGUAAUACGUAGGGAGCGAGCGUUAUCCGGAUUCAUUGGGCGUAAAGCGCGCGCAGGCGGUUGCUCAAGCGGAACCUCUAAUCUCGGGGCUUAACCUCGAGCCGGGUUCCGAACUGGACGACUCGAGUGCGGUAGAGGCAGAUGGAAUUCCCGGUGUAGCGGUGGAAUGCGCAGAUAUCGGGAAGAACACCAACGGCGAAGGCAGUCUGCUGGGCCGUCACUGACGCUGAGGCGCGAAAGCUGGGGGAGCGAACAGG
Molecule: ribosomal RNA, 403 nt
Filed under: Verrucomicrobiota bacterium
Lineage: Bacteria; Pseudomonadati; Verrucomicrobiota
Description: Verrucomicrobia bacterium partial 16S ribosomal RNA
Rfam family: Bacterial small subunit ribosomal RNA
Source: RNAcentral